Molecule: long non-coding RNA, 2779 nt
Organism: Parus major (Great Tit)
Lineage: Eukaryota; Metazoa; Chordata; Aves; Passeriformes; Paridae
Exons: 2
Source: RefSeq, a predicted model, not a curated record
UCUGAAAUCACCUAAACUGGGAAAAGGAGGAAUGUCUGUGUGGAGUACAGUCUCGAUCUGCUGAAAUUAAUUUUCUCAGUGGAGAAGGGUCUUGAAGCCAUCAGUUACCUUAAUGCAGUCCACCCCAGCCUUGGUGGACACGUCUGUGAACCUUCAGCAGAAGGUGGAGAUUGAUGUUCCUCCUCUGACUACUCUGAGCCAUCAUAGUAACCACAUGUCCAAUGGCAUUUCUUCCAGACUGGAAAGCCCACACCAGGAAUGCUACAACAUUUUGGACAAAAAUUUGGUGCCUUGUUUAUAAAAAAUAACUAAGGAGCAUAAUUUGAUGUAAGGACUGAAUUACUGGGGAUGAGAGCUGAGCAGAUGGCUUAAUACUAAGAUUUAUGAGACACCUGAGAUGCAGAACAUUAUAUACAUGCAUACAUCUUCCUAUUCUUAGGGAUCUGUACACUUCUAAUUCCUCUACUACCCUUAUUUUGGUGUCAUCUGGCCUUUUGUGACAUGUAUUUUUAUACAAACCCAGUUGGGUAAUGAAAUACUUUUGUUAUAGGUUUGCAGAUGGAGUGCUAAUGAAAGGCCAGCUGAUCACUGUACAAAGUCCUUUCAUUUGUGUUAUCACUGCUCUUUAGGAAAUGACAGCCUCUGUUAAUUCCCUGGCCAGCAGAAGAAAUCAUGUAGGGACUUACCUGCUUCAGUGCAAAGCCAGCUGGCCUCAGUGCCGAGCAAGGGUGUUUGAACUAACCUGGGUGCCAAGGAUCAGGUCUGCAAAUCACACCCCAAGACUCCUGGCCUCAAUGCUCUCUUAAAUGUCAAUUUAGCUUUCUGAGUGUUGGGCCAAGAUUUAUUAAUGACUUUUUGCUUUAUAUUUAUUGCUUUCAUUAUUAGAAAUUCAGUAUAUUAGAUGCUUCAAUUAUUAGAAUUGAGUUUAACAGAAUUUUCAUGUAAUAGAAAAAAAAUAGUAGUUUUCUGGAUGCCUUUUUUCUCCUUCUUCUUUAUACCCAUGUCAUGCCUUUUAUUUUGAGCAGGGUGUGGAUAUAUUUUCAUUUCUCUUGGCUACGUGCCUUUCCCACCCAGCCACAUGAACAAGAGGGAAGUUCUUUCAAUUUAGAAAUUGGCAAAAAUAACGGAGCAGCAAAAUUCUACCCUUGGGGAGAAGGUUAGGUGUUCUUUUAAGAAUGUGAGAAAAGCAGCAGGUUUUGCCUUAAGGUACAUGGGGUGAAAAUUGUUAUCUUUGCAUGGGAUCUUUCAUUAACAUAGAACAAAGGCAACGGAUGGGAAGAUACACAGAAAAGUACUACUACUUGUAGGGAAUAUCAGCUUUCCCUUACUGUGGAUUUGGGGCAUUUUGGAUAUUCCUUAUGUAUAUUAACCUGGAGUUUUAUAGCUGGUAAUGAAUGGUGUUUCUGCUUUUCUAAAAUUCACUUUUCAUCUUUACUACUCUUUUUCAGGAGCCCUGACAUCACUAUGAAAAAUUACUUUAAUCCAAUAUAGUUUAAAUUGAAAAAUCAUUCAUCGGUGAGGAGGUGUGAUAACAGAAUGUAUGGCGACAACUUCUUAUUUUCAUAUUUUAUGAAUAAACCAAAUACAAUAGAUAAUUCAAUUAUGAAAGAUCAGAGAGCUUUAGUUUUGAUCAGAGGGUGCACUGAUUUAUGCCAUUAACCAAUUCAAACACUUGCAUUUGUCACAGAUCUACUGUGGCAUAUGGAGGAUCCCAAGGGAUAUUUGCUGAAACCCAGUAGGAGCUAAAAUGCAGCUUGCAAUGAACUGGGCAGCAGCAGGAAAGUGUCGGGGAGAGCAAUGUAAGAGGAAGAUGAGCAGCAGUCUUGCAUGCUGUGUUCUGGAGCAGCAUGGCUUUUUGGUUCAAAUAAAUAUUAGAGUUAAUGCUUCUGUUGCAAAGUUUCUGUUUGGCUGCACUCUUCAACAAAGCACGUGAGACAAGUCUUGUCAGUGUUUGCAGAUUUUGAAUUCCAGGUUGACAUGCAGAAGACUUCAUGUUUCAAAGCAUCUAUUGUGCUGAGGGCUCUGGUUAUAGUAGUGAGUGUGUGUGUGUAUUUCUGUGUAUCUACUUAGGCAUAGUAGGGAGAACUCCUGUCAUGCUGUCUCUGACAGUAAUACAUUACUUAGCUGUAAUUUCUACAUUGGUUUCUGGUUUAUUGAUUGGAGAUGGUGUAGGCUGUUUCUAGUGGGAAAUGCUGGUAAGUGCAGCAGGGGUUGAGAAAUGGUGCCUUGACUGCCAGGAUAAAGAAACCUGUAUUAUUGCACAGGUCACUGAGGUUUGUUAGAAAAUGUCUGCUUUCUGGAGGGUAUAUUUAUUGCAAUAUUUAAGAUGGGAUAUACUAACUGUGAUGUCUGUAUUCCCAGAAGAGCACAAUAUUCUGAUGUUCUAAUGUCACUGUUCGUAGUUAAGCUUUGUCAUUAUCAUUUAUAGGGCAGAGUCAGUGAGAUCAGCACUUUAGUGAAGUUUCUGGUCACAGGAGUUUUCAUUCUAAUUAUGUAAUUAAUUUAUUAACUUGCAGAUGAAUGAGGAUUAGCAAAAUGAUAAAAAGUGAAAAAAACCCUAUUAAACUCCUCUGUAUUGUGCUUUAUUUUUUAUUGUAUGCACAGACCUGGACUAUAUCAUCUCAUUUGACGGUUGUUUCACUGCAAGAAUUUUCUGUUUCACUGAAUUUCCUAUAUGGAUAAAACUAUUGACCCUGGUAGGAUGGAAGUAAAAAAAAACAAAAAUUCUAAAAAUAAAGCAAAGCUAAACGACAUACUGUGAUUGGAUAGUUUUAAAAAA